Molecule: ribosomal RNA, 508 nt
Filed under: Bacillus sp. (in: firmicutes)
Lineage: Bacteria; Bacillati; Bacillota; Bacilli; Caryophanales; Bacillaceae
Description: bacterial SSU rRNA
Rfam family: Bacterial small subunit ribosomal RNA
Source: RNAcentral
GCUCAGGAUGAACGCUGGCGGCGUGCCUAAUACAUGCAAGUCGAGCGACUGAUUAGAAGCUUGCUUCUAUGACGUUAGCGGCGGACGGGUGAGUAACACGUGGGCAACCUGCCUGUAAGACUGGGAUAACUUCGGGAAACCGAAGCUAAUACCGGAUAGGAUCUUCUCCUUCAUGGGAGAUGAUUGAAAGAUGGUUUCGGCUAUCACUUACAGAUGGGCCCGCGGUGCAUUAGCUAGUUGGUGAGGUAACGGCUCACCAAGGCAACGAUGCAUAGCCGACCUGAGAGGGUGAUCGGCCACACUGGGACUGAGACACGGCCCAGACUCCUACGGGAGGCAGCAGUAGGGAAUCUUCCGCAAUGGACGAAAGUCUGACGGAGCAACGCCGCGUGAGUGAUGAAGGCUUUCGGGUCGUAAAACUCUGUUGUUAGGGAAGAACAAGUACAAGAGUAACUGCUCGUACCUUGACGGUACCUAACCAGAAAGCCACGGCUAACUACGUGCCAGC